Molecule: long non-coding RNA, 166 nt
Organism: Salvia miltiorrhiza (redroot sage)
Lineage: Eukaryota; Viridiplantae; Streptophyta; Magnoliopsida; Lamiales; Lamiaceae
Exons: 3
Source: RefSeq, a predicted model, not a curated record
GAUUCCUUGAAGAAGAGCCUCAAAAUUUAGAGUGAGAAAGUGUAAACUUUGGUAAGAACUUGGGCCCGAGCGAGACGAAGAAGUAAGUUGCCUGAUUUCUUUCCAGAAUAAGCGAAGGACUUCAGGCUAAGCUGGGAGUGAGAUUGGACUGGUGCUGAUGGGGGAG